RNAcentral lists this ribosomal RNA (346 nucleotides) under Klebsiella michiganensis. RNAcentral describes it as "bacterial LSU rRNA". It matches the Rfam family "Bacterial large subunit ribosomal RNA", at positions 1 to 385 of the family's 2925-position model. The record is from RNAcentral. Lineage: Bacteria; Pseudomonadati; Pseudomonadota; Gammaproteobacteria; Enterobacterales; Enterobacteriaceae.
UUAAGCGACUAAGCGUACACGGUGGAUGCCCUGGCAGUCAGAGGCGAUGAAGGACGUGCUAAUCUGCGAAAAGCGUCGGUAAGGUGAUAUGAACCGUUAUAGCCGGCGAUGUCCGAAUGGGGAAACCCAGUGCAAUUCGUUGCACUAUCGUUAACUGAAUACAUAGGUUAACGAGGCGAACCGGGGGAACUGAAACAUCUAAGUACCCCGAGGAAAAGAAAUCAACCGAGAUUCCCCCAGUAGCGGCGAGCGAACGGGGAGCAGCCCGGAGUCUGAAUCAGCUUGUGUGUUAGUGGAAGCGUCUGGAAAGUCGCAGGGUACAGGGUGAUACUCCCGUACACUAAAA